UAAUACUGCUGAAUGGAGAGGAGACAGAGGUCCCAUCAUGUUAUAAUACUGCUGAAUGGAGAGGAGACAGAGGUCCCAUCAUGUUAUAAUACUGCUGAAUGGAGAGGAGACAGAGGUCCCAUCAUGUUAUAAUACUGCUGGAGAGGAGACAGAGGUACCAUCAUGUUAUAAUACUGCUGAAUGGAGAGGAGGCAGAGGUCCCAUCAUGUUAUAAUACUGCUGAAUGGAGAGGAGGCAGAGGUCCCAUCAUGUUAUAAUACUGCUGAAUGGAGAGGAGACAGAGGUCCCAUCAUGUUAUAAUACUGCUGAGUGGAGAGGAGACAGAGGUACCAUCAUGUUAUAAUACUGCUGAAUGGAGAGGAGACAGAGGUCCCAUCAUGUUAUAAUACUGCUGAAUGGAGAGGAGACAGAGGUCCCAUCAUGUUAUAAUACUGCUGAAUGGAGAGGAGACAGAGGUCCCAUCAUGUUAUAAUACUGCUGAAUGGAGAGGAGACAGAGGUCCCAUCAUGUUAUAAUACUGCUGAAUGGAGAGGAGACAGAGGUACCAUCAUGUUAUAAUACUGCUGAAUGGAGAGGAGACAGAGGUACCAUCAUGUUAUAAUACUGCUGAAUGGAGAGGAGACAGAGGUCCCAUCAUGUUAUAAUACUGCUGGAGAGGAGACAGAGGUCCCAUCAUGUUAUAAUACUGCUGAAUGGAGAGGAGACAGAGGUCCCAUCAUGUUAUAAUACUGCUGAAUGGAGAGGAGACAGAGGUCCCAUCAUGUUAUAAUACUGCUGAAUGGAGAGGAGACAGAGGUCCCAUCAUGUUAUAAUACUGCUGAAUGGAGAGGAGACAGAGGUACCAUCAUGUUAUAAUACUGCUGAAUGGAGAGGAGACAGAGGUCCCAUCAUGUUAUAAUACUGCUGAAUGGAGAGGAGACAGAGGUCCCAUCAUGUUAUAAUACUGCUGAAUGGAGAGGAGACAGAGGUACCAUCAUGUUAUAAUACUGCUGAAUGGAGAGGAGACAGAGGUCCCAUCAUGUUAUAAUACUGCUGAAUGGAGAGGAGACAGAGGUCCCAUCAUGUUAUAAUACUGCUGAAUGGAGAGGAGACAGAGGUCCCAUCAUGUUAUAAUACUGCUGAAUGGAGAGGAGACAGAGGUCCCAUCAUGUUAUAAUACUGCUGAAUGGAGAGGAGACAGAGGUCCCAUCAUGUUAUAAUACUGCUGAAUGGAGAGGAGGCAGAGGUCCCAUCAUGUUAUAAUACUGCUGGAGAGGAGACAGAGGUCCCAUCAUGUUAUAAUACUGCUGAAUGGAGAGGAGACAGAGGUCCCAUCAUGUUAUAAUACUGCUGAAUGGAGAGGAGACAGAGGUCCCAUCAUGUUAUAAUACUGCUGAAUGGAGAGGAGACAGAGGUCCCAUCAUGUUAUAAUACUGCUGAAUGGAGAGGAGACAGAGGUCCCAUCAUGUUAUAACACUGCUGAAUGGAGAGGAGACAGAGGUACCAUCAUGUUAUAAUACUGCUGAAUGGAGAGGAGACAGAGGUCCCAUCAUGUUAUAAUACUGCUGAGUGGAGAGGAGACAGAGGUCCCAUCAUGUUAUAAUACUGCUGAAUGGAGAGGAGACAGAGGUCCCAUCAUGUUAUAAUACUGCUGGAGAGGAGACAGAGGUCCCAUCAUGUUAUAAUACUGCUGAAUGGAGAGGAGACAGAGGUCCCAUCAUGUUAUAAUACUGCUGAAUGGAGAGGAGGCAGAGGUCCCAUCAUGUUAUAAUACUGCUGGAGAGGAGACAGAGGUCCCAUCAUGUUAUAAUACUGCUGAAUGGAGAGGAGACAGAGGUCCCAUCAUGUUAUAAUACUGCUGGAGAGGAGACAGAGGUCCCAUCAUGUUAUAAUACUGCUGAAUGGAGAGGAGACAGAGGUACCAUCAUGUUAUAAUACUGCUGAAUGGAGAGGAGACAGAGGUCCCAUCAUGUUAUAAUACUGCUGGAGAGGAGACAGAGGUCCCAUCAUGUUAUAAUACUGCUGAAUGGAGAGGAGACAGAGGUCCCAUCAUGUUAUAAUACUGCUGAAUGGAGAGGAGACAGAGGUCCCAUCAUGUUAUAAUACUGCUGAAUGGAGAGGAGACAGAGGUCCCAUCAUGUUAUAAUACUGCUGAGUGGAGAGGAGACAGAGGUCCCAUCAUGUUAUAAUACUGCUGAAUGGAGAGGAGACAGAGGUACCAUCAUGUUAUAAUACUGCUGAAUGGAGAGGAGACAGAGGUCCCAUCAUGUUAUAAUACUGCUGAAUGGAGAGGAGACAGAGGUCCCAUCAUGUUAUAAUACUGCUGAAUGGAGAGGAGACAGAGGUCCCAUCAUGUUAUAAUACUGCUGGAGAGGAGACAGAGGUCCCAUCAUGUUAUAAUACUGCUGAAUGGAGAGGAGACAGAGGUCCCAUCAUGUUAUAAUACUGCUGAAUGGAGAGGAGACAGAGGUCCCAUCAUGUUAUAAUACUGCUGAAUGGAGAGGAGACAGAGGUCCCAUCAUGUUAUAAUACUGCUGAAUGGAGAGGAGACAGAGGUCCCAUCAUGUUAUAAUACUGCUGAAUGGAGAGGAGACAGAGGUCCCAUCAUGUUAUAAUACUGCUGAAUGGAGAGGAGACAGAGGUCCCAUCAUGUUAUAAUACUGCUGAAUGGAGAGGAGACAGAGGUCCCAUCAUGUUAUAAUACUGCUGGAGAGGAGACAGAGGUCCCAUCAUGUUAUAAUACUGCUGGAGAGGAGACAGAGGUCCCAUCAUGUUAUAAUACUGCUGAAUGGAGAGGAGACAGAGGUCCCAUCAUGUUAUAAUACUGCUGAAUGGAGAGGAGACAGAGGUCCCAUCAUGUUAUAAUACUGCUGAAUGGAGAGGAGACAGAGGUCCCAUCAUGUUAUAAUACUGCUGAAUGGAGAGGAGACAGAGGUCCCAUCAUGUUAUAAUACUGCUGGAGAGGAGACAGAGGUACCAUCAUGUUAUAAUACUGCUGAAUGGAGAGGAGACAGAGGUCCCAUCAUGUUAUAAUACUGCUGGAGAGGAGACAGAGGUCCCAUCAUGUUAUAAUACUGCUGAAUGGAGAGGAGACAGAGGUCCCAUCAUGUUAUAAUACUGCUGAAUGGAGAGGAGACAGAGGUCCCAUCAUGUUAUAAUACUGCUGAAUGGAGAGGAGACAGAGGUCCCAUCAUGUUAUAAUACUGCUGGAGAGGAGACAGAGGUCCCAUCAUGUUAUAAUACUGCUGAAUGGAGAGGAGACAGAGGUACCAUCAUGUUAUAAUACUGCUGAAUGGAGAGGAGACAGAGGUCCCAUCAUGUUAUAAUACUGCUGGAGAGGAGACAGAGGUCCCAUCAUGUUAUAAUACUGCUGAAUGGAGAGGAGACAGAGGUCCCAUCAUGUUAUAAUACUGCUGGAGAGGAGACAGAGGUCCCAUCAUGUUAUAAUACUGCUGAAUGGAGAGGAGACAGAGGUCCCAUCAUGUUAUAAUACUGCUGAAUGGAGAGGAGACAGAGGUCCCAUCAUGUUAUAAUACUGCUGAAUGGAGAGGAGACAGAGGUCCCAUCAUGUUAUAAUACUGCUGAAUGGAGAGGAGACAGAGGUCCCAGUCUAUAGUAGUGCACUACCCUUCUCCAGGCUGUCUAAAGUAGUGCACUACCCUUCUCCAGGCUGCCUAAAGUAGUGCACUACCCUUCUCCAGGCUGUCUAAAGUAGUGCACUACCCUUCUCCAGGCUGUCUAAAGUAGUGCACUACCCUUCUCCAGGCUGUCUAAAGUAGUGCACUACCCUUCUCCAGGCUGUCUAAAGUAGUGCACUACCCUUCUCCAGGCUGUCUAAAGUAGUGCACUACCCUUCUCCAGUAGUGCACUACCCUUCUCCAGGCUGUCUAAAGUAGUGCACUACCCUUCUCCAGGCUGUCUAAAGUAGUGCACUACCCUUCUCCAGGCUGCCUAAAGUAGUGCACUACCCUUCUCCAGGCUGUCUAAAGUAGUGCACUACCCUUCUCCAGGCUGUCUAAAGUAGAACACUACCCUUCUCCAGGCUGUCUAAAGUAGUGCACUACCCUUCUCCAGGCUGUCUAAAGUAGUGCACUACCCUUCUCCAGGCUGUCUAAAGUAGUGCACUACCCUUCUCCAGGCUGCCUAAAGUAGUGCACUACCCUUCUCCAGGCUGUCUAAAGUAGUGCACUACCCUUCUCCAGGCUGUCUAAAGUAGUGCACUACCCUUCUCCAGGCUGCCUAAAGUAGUACACUACCCUUCUCCAGGCUGUCUAAAGUAGUGCACUACCCUUCUCCAGGCUGCCUAAAGUAGUUCACUACCCUUCUCCAGGCUGCCUAAAGUAGUGCACUACCCUUCUCCAGGCUGACUAAAGUAGUGCACUACCCUUCUCCAGGCUGUCUAAAGUAGUGCACUACCCUUCUCCACGCUGUCUAAAGUAGAGCACUACCCUUCUCCAGGCUGUCUAAAGUAGUGCACUACCCUUCUCCAGGCUGUCUAAAGUAGUGCACUACCCUUCUCCAGGCUGUCUAAAGUAGUGCACUAUAGAGGGAAUAGAACAGAUGUGUUUUUAUGUUCUGGUUUAAUUCAUCUUAUUGUGAAGCCAAAGUGAAUUCUUCAUUGUGUUGUCAAUAAAGUUAUAUUCUUCUUCUU
Molecule: RNA transcript, 4630 nt
Organism: Oncorhynchus keta (chum salmon)
Lineage: Eukaryota; Metazoa; Chordata; Actinopteri; Salmoniformes; Salmonidae
Gene name: DIS3-like exonuclease 1
Exons: 11
Source: RefSeq, a predicted model, not a curated record